Molecule: non-coding RNA, 224 nt
Organism: Pelobates cultripes (western spadefoot toad)
Lineage: Eukaryota; Metazoa; Chordata; Amphibia; Anura; Pelobatidae
Source: the annotation of a GenBank genome assembly
ACCACACUUACCUGGGGGUUCUCCGCCACUUCUCUGUCCACUCCUGUUGUGGUCCAUCCUCACUGCAUGUCCAGGACUCCAAUGUGUCCCACCGCAAGGACAGACGGCCAGCAUCCCUGUGAUUCAUGGAUGUGGCUUCGUGGCUCGCCACGACCCGCGGGAAGCUUCAGCCAAACCCACAUGUAAACUACACACACUCUAGGCGCACAUGCCCGACAGCUGGC